RNAcentral lists this transfer RNA (78 nucleotides) under Lachnospiraceae bacterium. Its description in RNAcentral is "tRNA-Leu". It matches the Rfam family "tRNA". Rfam says of the family: Transfer RNA (tRNA) molecules are approximately 80 nucleotides in length. Their secondary structure includes four short double-helical elements and three loops (D, anti-codon, and T loops). Further hydrogen bonds mediate the characteristic L-shaped molecular structure. tRNAs have two regions of fundamental functional importance: the anti-codon, which is responsible for specific mRNA codon recognition, and the 3' end, to which the tRNAs corresponding amino acid is attached (by aminoacyl-tRNA synthetases). tRNAs cope with the degeneracy of the genetic code in two manners: having more than one tRNA (with a specific anti-codon) for a particular amino acid; and 'wobble' base-pairing, i.e. permitting non-standard base-pairing at the 3rd anti-codon position. The record is from RNAcentral. Lineage: Bacteria; Bacillati; Bacillota; Clostridia; Lachnospirales; Lachnospiraceae.
GGAUAUGGCGGAACUGGCAGACGCGCCAGACUUAGGAUCUGGUGCGCCACCGUGCAGCUUCGCUUCCUGUUAUCCCCC